This 480-nucleotide ribosomal RNA is filed under the name uncultured bacterium. Its description in RNAcentral is "partial 16S ribosomal RNA". It matches the Rfam family "Bacterial small subunit ribosomal RNA", at positions 28 to 523 of the family's 1533-position model. The record is from RNAcentral.
GACGAACGCUGGCGGCGUGCUUAACACAUGCAAGUCGAACGGUGAAGUUCCUUCGGGAAUGGAUUAGUGGCGAACGGGUGAGGAACACGUGAGAAACCUGCCUUUCAUUCUGGGAUAACUCCGGGAAACCGGGGCUAAAACCGAAUACUCCGUCUCGGCGGCAUCGCUGAGCCGGGAAAAAAUUUUGAUGAAAGAUGGUCUCGCGGCCUAUCAGCUAGUUGGUGAGGUAAUGGCUCACCAAGGCAACGACGGGUAGCCGGCCUGAGAGGGCGACCGGCCACACUGGGACUGAGACACGGCCCAGACUCCUACGGGAGGCAGCAGUGGGGAAUAUUGGGCAAUGGGCGCAAGCCUGACCCAGCGACGCCGCGUGAGGGAUGAAGGCCUUCGGGUUGUAAACCUCUUUCAGUAGGGAAGAAGCGAAGGUGACGGUACCUAAAGAAGAAGCACCGGCUAACUAUGUGCCAGCCGCCGCAGUAA